RNAcentral lists this transfer RNA (67 nucleotides) under Solenopsis invicta (red fire ant). RNAcentral's name for it is "tRNA-Asn". The record is from RNAcentral. Lineage: Eukaryota; Metazoa; Arthropoda; Insecta; Hymenoptera; Formicidae. RNAcentral also lists the same sequence under 1 other name.
UAAAUAAAAAUCAAAUCUAUAAAAUUUAAUUUUUAUUUAAAAAAUUUAUUUUAUAAUUAUAAUAUAA